RNAcentral lists this ribosomal RNA (324 nucleotides) under uncultured eukaryote. Its description in RNAcentral is "partial 18S ribosomal RNA". It matches the Rfam family "Eukaryotic small subunit ribosomal RNA", at positions 1470 to 1796 of the family's 1831-position model. The record is from RNAcentral.
CCCUUAGAUGUUCUGGGCUGCACGCGCGCUACACUGAUGCAUGCAACGAGUUUUCGACCUUGCCUGAAGAGGUUGGGUAAUCUGUUUAACAUGUGUCGUGAUGGGGAUAGACCAUUGCAAUUAUUGAUCUUCAACGAGGAAUUCCUAGUAAGCGCGAGUCAUCAGCUCGUGCUGAUUAUGUCCCUGCCCUUUGUACACACCGCCCGUCGCUCCUACCGAUUGGGUGAUCCGGUGAAUGAUUCGGACCGGCGUAGUGCUAGCUACUAGUGCUGUACUGGAAAGUUUUGUGAACCUUAUCACCUGGAGGAAGGAGAAGUCGUAACA